UAACAUGGUUUUAAAAACCUGUGGGUUCUG
Molecule: non-coding RNA, 30 nt
Filed under: Rattus norvegicus (Norway rat)
Lineage: Eukaryota; Metazoa; Chordata; Mammalia; Rodentia; Muridae
Source: RNAcentral